RNAcentral lists this ribosomal RNA (355 nucleotides) under Rhombosolea leporina (yellowbelly flounder). RNAcentral's name for it is "partial 12S ribosomal RNA". It matches the Rfam family "Bacterial small subunit ribosomal RNA", at positions 801 to 1361 of the family's 1533-position model. The record is from RNAcentral. Lineage: Eukaryota; Metazoa; Chordata; Actinopteri; Pleuronectiformes; Rhombosoleidae.
AAACACCGAGCAAUUACUUACAUCUAGCUCCGCCUGGGUAAUACGAACAUAAGUUUAAAACCCGAAGGACUUGGCGGUGCUUAAUAUCCCCCUAGAGGAGCCUGUUCUAGAACCGAUGAUCCCCGUUAAACCUCACCCUCUCUUGCAGAUCCCGCCUAUAUACCACCGUCGCCAGCUUACCCUCUGAGGGAACCUAAGUAAGCAAAAAUGGCAAUGCCCAGUACGUCAGGUCGAGGUGUAGCGUAUGUCAGGGGAAGAAAUGGGCUACAUUCGCUAAUUGUAGCGAACUACGAAUAUUGCCUUGAAAAAGGCAAUUGAAGGAGGAUUUAGAAGUAAGCAGAAAAUAGAGCGUCUG